This 22-nucleotide non-coding RNA is filed under the name Arabidopsis thaliana (thale cress). Lineage: Eukaryota; Viridiplantae; Streptophyta; Magnoliopsida; Brassicales; Brassicaceae. The record is from RNAcentral.
UCACCUUUUUCAAGUGUUCUCA